CAGCCGCCGCGGUAAUACGUAGGUGGCAAGCGUUGUCCGGAAUUAUUGGGCGUAAAGGGCUCGCAGGCGGUUUCUUAAGUCUGAUGUGAAAGCCCCCGGCUCAACCGGGGAGGGUCAUUGGAAACUGGGAAACUUGAGUGCAGAAGAGGAGAGUGGAAUUCCACGUGUAGCGGUGAAAUGCGUAGAGAUGUGGAGGAACACCAGUGGCGAAGGCGACUCUCUGGUCUGUAACUGACGCUGAGGAGCGAAAGCGUGGGGAGCGAACAGGAUUAGAGACCCCGGUAGUCCCUGUCUCUUAUAC
This 301-nucleotide ribosomal RNA is filed under the name uncultured bacterium. RNAcentral's name for it is "partial 16S ribosomal RNA". It matches the Rfam family "Bacterial small subunit ribosomal RNA", at positions 509 to 807 of the family's 1533-position model. The record is from RNAcentral.